RNAcentral lists this long non-coding RNA (1136 nucleotides) under Mytilus galloprovincialis (Mediterranean mussel). Lineage: Eukaryota; Metazoa; Mollusca; Bivalvia; Mytilida; Mytilidae. The record is from RNAcentral.
AGUUUAUUAAGAUUAGAAUCAAGCGCACCUGCUUCUUGUGGGAUUCAUAACCUCAGUAUUGAUAGGCUAGUGUCCAGCUCUGUAUGAUGGAGAGUGAGAUAAUAAUUACAUGUUUGUCUGAUAAAAGGGAAGUUCUUUUCUUCAGGGAUAUCAAUUUAUUUGAAACCAUAAAAUUAAAUCAUAAAUGAACAACUACAAAAAAGUGACAAUGAACAGUAUAAUUAGUUUAAAUGAUCUACAAUCAAGAUGUUUUUAAAUAUAUAAAAGAAAUUAUUGUAGAAGUUUAUGUGUAGAUGUUUUUGUCUGUAUAAAAAUAAUAUACAGGUUGAAUAAUCUUGUGUUGCGGAAGAAGAAGUAAUGUGUGAAAUGAUUUUGAUAAUUGCAGUGUUCCAUUUUACAUUAGUAAAAUUACUAUAUACCAAUGUGUCCUCAGCAUGGGUAAAAAUCUUGCUUUAAAAUGUGAUCAAGAAUAUACUGGAUAAUGUAAAAUGUAAAAGAUUUUUUUGUUACUUUUAUAGGUCUAUAUACUUAUAUCAAGAUACUAUAAUGAGUAUAGCCUUAUAAGUGAACAAUUAUCAUGAAGUUUUUAUAUUUACGAGAAUUAGUUUGCCAGUACUUGUGCCAUUGCAAAGUUAAGGUGCUUAUUGCAUUACACUAGUGGACAGUGUUUUUGCAGAAAUGUAUUCCAAGAUUGGUUUUUUUUCAGUAAACAGAAUUUUCAAUGCUAUUUAUUUGGUCUUUUUUCAGUGUACACUGAUUUUGGAAUGCUAUAAGAGUAUGUAAAUUCUCUUUCGUUUUUUUUUUUUUUUUAUUUAUUUGACUAUAUUCAUGAAGAAACUAUGAAACUAUGAUUUCUCCCCUGUGACUCAAGUUUCCAGACUUGUCAUUCCAUAAUAAAUCAGUUUUAUAUUUUGUUGUUACAUAUGAGUUUGGACUUAAAGAACAUUUUCAGAUUAUUGGUGAUAGUUGUAUAAAAGCUUUUAUUCACAUACUUAUUUUUGGACUGCAUUCAAAUAAUUGAGAAAGGAAAAUCUAUGACAUUUUCUUCUCUAAAAAUUUACUAAGUUAUUUUUGUCGAGCCUUCGACUUUAGUCGAAAAAGCGAGACUAAGCGAUCCUACAUUCCGUCGGCGUCGG